This 30-nucleotide transfer RNA is filed under the name Pavonia columella. RNAcentral describes it as "partial tRNA-Gln". The record is from RNAcentral. Lineage: Eukaryota; Viridiplantae; Streptophyta; Magnoliopsida; Malvales; Malvaceae.
UAUCCGGAGGUUCGAAUCCUUCCGUCCCAG